RNAcentral lists this ribosomal RNA (342 nucleotides) under Triticum aestivum (bread wheat). RNAcentral's name for it is "partial small subunit ribosomal RNA". Lineage: Eukaryota; Viridiplantae; Streptophyta; Magnoliopsida; Poales; Poaceae. The record is from RNAcentral.
AUGCACUAUGGUUUAUUUAGCCAAAACUACUUGUAUAUAUAUUUUGCUGUUUGCCUAGGUAGUCAGCGUUUACAGGAUGGAGUUUCAGGGAAAUUGGACACCAUUUUAGUCCCAAUCCCCUCCCUACUUGGUGUCGCCAAUGGAUGGGCAUUAUUUGUGGCAAUUUUGGCGAGCUCUUCUCCUGUUUGGUUAGCGAGGAUUCAAUGGAUGAGAAAGCAAGUUAUGAUCAAUAGUCAAGAUGUCCUCAGUUCAAUCCUGAUUCACACCCCUUCUCUUUUAGUAAAAAGCACAGAAUGUACAUCUAGUUGUCCUUUUUUAGAACAUUCAUUUGAUUAUCUUUAG